This 482-nucleotide ribosomal RNA is filed under the name uncultured bacterium. RNAcentral's name for it is "bacterial SSU rRNA". It matches the Rfam family "Bacterial small subunit ribosomal RNA", at positions 30 to 507 of the family's 1533-position model. The record is from RNAcentral.
AUUGAACGCUGGCGGCAUGCCUUACACAUGCAAGUCGAACGGUAACAGGUCUUCGGAUGCUGACGAGUGGCGAACGGGUGAAUAAUACAUCGGAACGUGCCCGAUCGUGGGGGAUAACGGAGCGAAAGCUUUGCUAAUACCGCAUACGAUCUACGGAUGAAAGCAGGGGACCGCAAGGCCUUGCGCGGACGGAGCGGCCGAUGGCAGAUUAGGUAGUUGGUGGGAUAAAAGCUUACCAAGCCGACGAUCUGUAGCUGGUCUGAGAGGACGACCAGCCACACUGGGACUGAGACACGGCCCAGACUCCUACGGGAGGCAGCAGUGGGGAAUUUUGGACAAUGGGCGAAAGCCUGAUCCAGCCAUACCGCGUGCAGGAUGAAGGCCUUCGGGUUGUAAACUGCUUUUGUACGGAACGAAAAGACUCCUUCUAAUAAAGGGGGUCCAUGACGGUACCGUAAGAAUAAGCACCGGCUAACUACGUG